AAAUGUUCUGAUAUAGAAACUUCUGGGGCAGCAUGUCAUACUGGUAAUGUUGCUGCGAAAGUUCAUGAAAAACAAUCAGAAUUGGCAUCCGAUAUGCAGGUUCAUGAAAAACAAUCAGAAGUGGCAUCCGAUAUGCAGGUUCAUGAAAAACAAUCAGAAGUGGCAUCCGAUAUGCUGGUUCAUGAAAAACAAUCAGAAGUGGCAUCCGAUAUGCUGGUUCAUGAAAAACAAUCAGAAGUGGCAUCCGAUAUGCAUAAUUUGGAAGGAAAAUCAAGUUUAGAUACGCCAACUACUGGAGCACUGAGCCUGACAACAGCCUUGCCAGUGAAGGGGAACAAGCAAGAAUCUGAUGUUGCAUCUGAU
This 363-nucleotide long non-coding RNA is filed under the name Trifolium pratense (red clover). RNAcentral's name for it is "long non-coding RNA (TPRA_LNC012524)". The record is from RNAcentral. Lineage: Eukaryota; Viridiplantae; Streptophyta; Magnoliopsida; Fabales; Fabaceae.